CUGGCAAAGCACAAAGGAAUUUUCAGGGGUCAGGAGCUGUGCUCAUAGGACAGUGCCUAUAAAUCAUAGGCAUUACUCAACAGGUGAAAUAACAAUGUAUAUUAGACAGCAGUUAAUGUUGCACUUCUAAAUGAUAGUGAAUGAUCAAACUAAAAUAAAAGGAACAGUAAUAAGGUUAUUGUGUGCUGGACCAAGAAGAGCAAAGUUCAGCUGCAUCAUGAGAUGAAUGGAUUAUUGCUUCCCAAACCAGACCUUUUUGUAGCAGUUGAAGUGGAAACGGAACAAAUAAAGUCUCAUUGAAAAGAAGAGGUAUUUUGAGGAAGGCAUCCAUUUGCAACCAUGCUGCCCCUGCGAAAGGCUGUGCUCAUUUGUCUGCAGCUUCUUUGGAAGCCUGAACCUCAUGCUGGGACUGCACACACAGCUACACCAUACCGAGGCCUGCUGAGGAAACCACGCAGCUAGACAAGGACAGCUUCUCUUUUAGAUGAGUGGAUGUGAAGAUGCAAUGCACAUUUUUGUGAACUAAUGAGAUGAGUAGCUUCCAUUUCAAAUCUACUCAAAAUAUUUAGAGUUUUUUUCCUUUGUUAUUUUAACACAAGCUGCUUCUUUUCCCUUUUUCCUUUUCCCUUUUUCCUUUUUGCUUUACCCUUUUCUCCUUUUUCUGUUUCCCUGUUUCUCUUUUCCCUUUUCCUUUUUCCUUUUCCUUUUCUUUUUUUAAUGCUUCACUGGCAUAAUUAAACCCUAAAUGCAUUGGACCAGUGAUCAGGACAACCAGAAAAUCAAAGUAACAUAGACCAGGCUACUACCACUGUACAGGCUGUCCAAGGCCACGUGCCUAUGAACAGAUCUCUCAGUGGUGAUUUUAUACUGCAAGCUCUGUCCUAAUACAGCUACCUGGCCUCCAGAUGGGAGUUAUCUUAUUUCUGGCCAGUUCAAGCAGACAUAAAGGAAUUUGGGUCUUCCAUGUCACUGGUUUUAAUGGGUGGGGUUUCUUAUCUCUGUCAAAGAAGGCAUAUACUGCUGUUCCAAGCAGAAUUUGCUCUGUAUUUGAUAGGCACAAGCUGCACAGUGGAACAGACAGCAAGUGCUGAGCAGUGCUUAGCAUUUAGAGAGACAGAUCAGGAGGGUGUUGAGUCCAUCAGGUCUGUGCUUUUACACUGGCACAGCUAUGCUGUCAGGGAAGCAGGUUUUUAAUUCACGGAGUUCCUUUGCCUUCAUGGUGAGGAAAGAAAAACCGUGUUUGGGUGUUUGCCUUUGAUUUCACAAGGACCACACUUUCACUCAUAAUUUCACUCCAAAGAGUAAUAUUGUUCUGCUCCAGUAGGAUGCUGGCUCCUAUUUAACUUUCAGACCUUGUCUUCAGCUGCCACAUUCUCAUGAAUAUACUGGCACCAUCUGAAUGCUCACGAAUAAGGGAUAACAUGACUGUGCAUAGCAGAUGAGUCAAAAACCCAGAGCUUUUGCUUAUGGUAUUUUUUGUUGUUACAUUUGCACCCUGCCAGCUGUUGAUCUUUCUAAUGUGCUGCUUAGCAGUCAGGCUUUGCUCCCUCUUGCUUAAUGAACUAUGUGAGAAAUCACAGGCCAGGGGCUGCUUUUAAAGCUAGUAGUGAUGGUCCGUAAAGAAGAAAUCCCCUGGACCACUAGAGCUGGAGACCUAGCAGCACUGUUGUCAGAGAUGAUAGAGAAAAAAAGGUGAUGGAAGAGUUCUUGUUUCACCCUUGAUGUACUUAUACCUCUUGGAUAUAAGCGUUGAAGUUAAAUCGCGAGAGUUAUUGCACAUGCUGUGGGACUGAAAAGGAUUUGUGCUCUUGUGAAACAGGCCACUCUUCCCCCAGAAAACCUUGUAUCCCAGUAAACAUCACCUAAUGGUGAGCAUAUGGCAGAGCACAGGCACAUGGACAUGCUCUCCACACCCUGUUGUAGAUGAUCCCCAACUAUAGUGCUUGAUGAGCAUGGCUUCAGGUCCAGGAAAGGUGUUUUAGGUUUGGAAACCACCGUUCUUACUAAUAUCUUGGAGAAUGGGCAGUGUGAGCUGCCCUCAGCUCUGCAUGCAAACGUGCCUAUGAGGGGGUUCAUGGGCAGUCAACAUGAGUCUGUACCAUUGCCUGCAGGGAGUGCUCACUGAGCAGCGAUGGCUGGGUACGUGCUGGAUGAUUCUUUCCCUCUGGUAGGCAGCUACAGCUUUGCAGCAGCCAGCAGCUUGCUGCCAGCAGACUGCCUCAUUCUCAUUCAAGAGCUGAAGCCGAGGAUGCUGCCAGCUCACUCCUGUUGCAGGGGCUUCAGGAAGAGAUGCGUUUCCCCUGAAGCCCUUUCUCAAACAUGUUAGCCCUCUGUUUUGUGGAGCCAGCUCGCUCCAUCCUCUGCCUCCUGCUUCUCCUUUUGUUGGCUUUGGGAUUUCUCGUGGACCCUCCGCUCCCCCUUCCAAGCACCUCUUGGUUAUUAAAAUGCAGCUCAGGAUAGUUCACUUUGCCUGGUACAUUAUCAUUCCUCGUUAGAGACCCCUCCAGGGCCUGUGAUAUGCCUGCACUGACUUUAUAAUUACAAAGUCAAUUUCUAAACAGACAUUUGCAAAUAAGUCAAUUUAAAUACCGAGAUUUGCAAACAAUAAUUAAGCAGUAGCUUCUUUUUUAAUAUCUAUAUAUAUAAUUAAUGCCCAUGGGCUUUCAUUUUACCUUGCGACUGUGUAGCUUGCAAUUGUUUGUUGAACUGAACCAUUCUCAGAAAGCAAAUCAAAUCACUGAUGGGUUUUAAAGCUGUUUUAAGAGAAUGCCCUACCUCCCCCUACCUCAUUCCACUCCAGCUCCAUGAGCCAUUUCUUAGGCAGUCCCCAGUCCAGCCAGCAGCUAUAGGGAGCAACUGAGCUGGGGCUUUUUCCCCUUCAGUGUAAGGAUGGUGACCUGAUCUGCCAAAAUAUAUUCAACACCACAACAGACUGGGGAAGACUGUGUUAAAGAAGCUGAGCAAUAAAAGUAGUCUGCAAGAAUGAGGAAAAAUGCAUUCUGGAGCAGAAGAUGAGCAUAGUCUAUCUGGGGUCUCCUCCAGGGUUAUGCAGUGAGAGGGCUCAUGCUAUGAGCAGUGUUAAGAGAGGAGCAAAUGGGUCCAGGAGAAGGAGGAAUCUCUCCUUUACUUUGGGACAGGUCCUCACAUUGUUCCAUGUCACCGUGCUAUGGGACCACGGGAUGUUGAGGCAUGAAUAGGUGAUCCUAGACAUAGAGAGGUGAAACAGAGGGUUGGUUGCAUUUCUUGUUAGGAGGCUCCCAGGUUUCCAUCCUGAUGCUCUCCAUAGUUGCUGCAGCACUGUCCCUUGGUAAGCCUUGUUACCUCCAAGCCUAUUCCCA
Pezoporus flaviventris is the source of this 3338-nucleotide long non-coding RNA. RefSeq lists it as uncharacterized. The transcript has 3 exons. The record is from RefSeq and is a predicted model, not a curated record. NCBI's taxonomy places the organism in Eukaryota, Metazoa, Chordata, Aves, Psittaciformes, Psittacidae.